GGACUACAAGGGUAUCUAAUCCCGUUUGCUCCCCUGGCUUUCGCGCCUCAGCGUCAGAAAAGGUCCAGCAGCUCGCUUUCGCCACCGGCGUUCCUUCCGAUAUCAACGCAUUUCACCGCUCCACCGGAAGUUCCAGCUGCCCCUACCCCCCUCCAGACCGCCAGUCUCCGAGGCUAUUUUCCGGUUGAGCCGAAAGAUUUCACCCCGGACUUGGUGGUCCGCCUACGCGCCCUUUAAGCCCAGUGAUUCCGAACAACGUUCGCACGGUUCGUCUUACCGCGGCUGCUGGCAC
This 292-nucleotide ribosomal RNA is filed under the name uncultured bacterium. RNAcentral describes it as "partial 16S ribosomal RNA". RNAcentral also lists the same sequence under 2 other names. The record is from RNAcentral.